AUGAGCUCUCCUGGGAAGACAUCGUGGCCAGAGGUGCUCCACUGGUCUGUGUACCCGGCGAUGGACAAGAUCAAGAGCGACAGGCCGGAGCUGACCAUCGACUCGCUGCCGGUGGGCACCAUCCCAGCCCCGCCGGGCUUCCAGUCGGACCGCGUCCUCGUCUUCUACCAGCAGGAGGAGGGGGUCGUCCACCGGGUCGUAGUCAUCCCCGUCGUCGGCUAG
This 222-nucleotide ribosomal RNA is filed under the name Triticum aestivum (bread wheat). RNAcentral's name for it is "partial small subunit ribosomal RNA". Lineage: Eukaryota; Viridiplantae; Streptophyta; Magnoliopsida; Poales; Poaceae. The record is from RNAcentral.